This 464-nucleotide ribosomal RNA is filed under the name uncultured bacterium. RNAcentral's name for it is "partial 16S ribosomal RNA". It matches the Rfam family "Bacterial small subunit ribosomal RNA", at positions 338 to 795 of the family's 1533-position model. The record is from RNAcentral.
CCUACGGGAGGCAGCAGUAGGGAAUUUUCGUCAAUGGGCGCAAGCCUGAACGAGCAAUGCCGCGUGAACGAGGAAGGUCUUCGGAUCGUAAAGUUCUGUUGAAGGGGAAAAAGAGCGGAGAGAGGAAAUGCUUUCUGAUUGAUAUUACCCUUCGAGGAAGUCACGGCUAACUACGUGCCAGCACCCGCGGUAAUACGUAGGUGGCGAGCGUUAUCCGGAAUGAUGGGGCGUAAGGGGUGCGUAGGCGGCCUGCUAAGUCUGGAGUGAAAGGUACCGGCUCAACCGGGACAGGGUCUGGAAACUGGCGGGCUAGAGAGCAGGAGAGGGCGGUGGAACUCCAUGUGUAGCGGUAAAAUGCGUAGAUAUAUGGAAGAACACCAGUGGCGAAGGCGGCCGCCUGGCCUGUUACUGACGCUGAGGCACGAAAGCGUGGGGAGCAAAUAGGAUUAGAUACCCUUGUAGUC